This 554-nucleotide ribosomal RNA is filed under the name Pestalotiopsis sp. 8Ch61. RNAcentral describes it as "eukaryotic LSU rRNA". It matches the Rfam family "Eukaryotic large subunit ribosomal RNA", at positions 75 to 651 of the family's 3401-position model. Lineage: Eukaryota; Fungi; Ascomycota; Sordariomycetes; Amphisphaeriales; Sporocadaceae. The record is from RNAcentral.
UUNCCUUAGUAACGGCGAGUGAAGCGGCAACAGCUCAAAUUUGAAAUCCGGCCCUUGGGUCCGAAUUGUAAUUUGUAGAGGAUGAUUUUGGUGCGGUAUCUUCCGAGUUCCUUGGAACAGGACGCCUUANAGGGUGAGAGCCCCGUACGGUUGAAUGCCUAGCCUCUGUAAAUCUCCUUCGACGAGUCGAGUAGUUUGGGAAUGCUGCUCUAAAUGGGAGGUAAAUUUCUUCUAAAGCUAAAUAUUGGCCAGAGACCGAUAGCGCACAAGUAGAGUGAUCGAAAGAUGAAAAGCACUUUGAAAAGAGGGUUAAAUANCACGUGAAAUUGUUGAAAGGGAAGGAUUUGUGACCAGACUUUUUCUGGGCGGAUCAUCCGGGGUUCUCUCCGGUGCACUUCGCCCAGUAAAGGCCAGCAUCGGUUUUCGGCGUGGGAUAAAAGCAGUAGGAAUGUGGCUCUCUACGGGGAGUGUUAUAGCCUAUUGUAUAAUACCGCGCUGGGGACCGAGGUUCGCGCUUCUGCAAGGAUGCUGGCGUAAUGGUUAUCAAUCACCCG